GGGUUGUGAGGUUAAGCGACUAAGCGUACACGGUGGAUGCCCUGGCAGUCAGAGGCGAUGAAGGACGUGCUAAUCUGCGAUAAGCGUCGGUAAGGUGAUAUGAACCGUUAUAACCGGCGAUUUCCGAAUGGGGAAACCCAGUGUGUUUCGACACACUAUCAUUAACUGAAUCCAUAGGUUAAUGAGGCGAACCGGGGGAACUGAAACAUCUAAGUACCCCGAGGAAAAGAAAUCAACCGAGAUUCCCCCAGUAGCGGCGAGCGAACGGGGAGCAGCCCAGAGCCUGAAUCAGUGUGUGUGUUAGUGGAAGCGUCUGGAAAGGCGCGCGAUACAGGGUGACAGCCCCGUACACAAAAAUGCACAUGCUGUGAGCUCGAUGAGUAGGGCGGGACACGUGGUAUCCUGUCUGAAUAUGGGGGGACCAUCCUCCAAGGCUAAAUACUCCUGACUGACCGAUAGUGAACCAGUACCGUGAGGGAAAGGCGAAAAGAACCCCGGCGAGGGGAGUGAAAAAGAACCUGAAACCGUGUACGUACAAGCAGUGGGAGCCUCUUUUAUGGGGUGACUGCGUACCUUUUGUAUAAUGGGUCAGCGACUUAUAUUCUGUAGCAAGGUUAACCGAAUAGGGGAGCCGAAGGGAAACCGAGUCUUAACUGGGCGUUAAGUUGCAGGGUAUAGACCCGAAACCCGGUGAUCUAGCCAUGGGCAGGUUGAAGGUUGGGUAACACUAACUGGAGGACCGAACCGACUAAUGUUGAAAAAUUAGCGGAUGACUUGUGGCUGGGGGUGAAAGGCCAAUCAAACCGGGAGAUAGCUGGUUCUCCCCGAAAGCUAUUUAGGUAGCGCCUCGUGAAUUCAUCUCCGGGGGUAGAGCACUGUUUCGGCAAGGGGGUCAUCCCGACUUACCAACCCGAUGCAAACUGCGAAUACCGGAGAAUGUUAUCACGGGAGACACACGGCGGGUGCUAACGUCCGUCGUGAAGAGGGAAACAACCCAGACCGCCAGCUAAGGUCCCAAAGUCAUGGUUAAGUGGGAAACGAUGUGGGAAGGCCCAGACAGCCAGGAUGUUGGCUUAGAAGCAGCCAUCAUUUAAAGAAAGCGUAAUAGCUCACUGGUCGAGUCGGCCUGCGCGGAAGAUGUAACGGGGCUAAACCAUGCACCGAAGCUGCGGCAGCGACGCUUAUGCGUUGUUGGGUAGGGGAGCGUUCUGUAAGCCUGUGAAGGUGUGCUGUGAGGCAUGCUGGAGGUAUCAGAAGUGCGAAUGCUGACAUAAGUAACGAUAAAGCGGGUGAAAAGCCCGCUCGCCGGAAGACCAAGGGUUCCUGUCCAACGUUAAUCGGGGCAGGGUGAGUCGACCCCUAAGGCGAGGCCGAAAGGCGUAGUCGAUGGGAAACAGGUUAAUAUUCCUGUACUUGGUGUUACUGCGAAGGGGGGACGGAGAAGGCUAUGUUGGCCGGGCGACGGUUGUCCCGGUUUAAGCGUGUAGGCUGGUUUUCCAGGCAAAUCCGGAAAAUCAAGGCUGAGGCGUGAUGACGAGGCACUACGGUGCUGAAGCAACAAAUGCCCUGCUUCCAGGAAAAGCCUCUAAGCAUCAGGUAACAUCAAAUCGUACCCCAAACCGACACAGGUGGUCAGGUAGAGAAUACCAAGGCGCUUGAGAGAACUCGGGUGAAGGAACUAGGCAAAAUGGUGCCGUAACUUCGGGAGAAGGCACGCUGAUAUGUAGGUGAAGCGACUUGCUCGUGGAGCUGAAAUCAGUCGAAGAUACCAGCUGGCUGCAACUGUUUAUUAAAAACACAGCACUGUGCAAACACGAAAGUGGACGUAUACGGUGUGACGCCUGCCCGGUGCCGGAAGGUUAAUUGAUGGGGUCAGCGCAAGCGAAGCUCUUGAUCGAAGCCCCGGUAAACGGCGGCCGUAACUAUAACGGUCCUAAGGUAGCGAAAUUCCUUGUCGGGUAAGUUCCGACCUGCACGAAUGGCGUAAUGAUGGCCAGGCUGUCUCCACCCGAGACUCAGUGAAAUUGAACUCGCUGUGAAGAUGCAGUGUACCCGCGGCAAGACGGAAAGACCCCGUGAACCUUUACUAUAGCUUGACACUGAACAUUGAGCCUUGAUGUGUAGGAUAGGUGGGAGGCUUUGAAGUGUGGACGCCAGUCUGCAUGGAGCCGACCUUGAAAUACCACCCUUUAAUGUUUGAUGUUCUAACGUUGACCCGUAAUCCGGGUUGCGGACAGUGUCUGGUGGGUAGUUUGACUGGGGCGGUCUCCUCCUAAAGAGUAACGGAGGAGCACGAAGGUUGGCUAAUCCUGGUCGGACAUCAGGAGGUUAGUGCAAUGGCAUAAGCCAGCUUGACUGCGAGCGUGACGGCGCGAGCAGGUGCGAAAGCAGGUCAUAGUGAUCCGGUGGUUCUGAAUGGAAGGGCCAUCGCUCAACGGAUAAAAGGUACUCCGGGGAUAACAGGCUGAUACCGCCCAAGAGUUCAUAUCGACGGCGGUGUUUGGCACCUCGAUGUCGGCUCAUCACAUCCUGGGGCUGAAGUAGGUCCCAAGGGUAUGGCUGUUCGCCAUUUAAAGUGGUACGCGAGCUGGGUUUAGAACGUCGUGAGACAGUUCGGUCCCUAUCUGCCGUGGGCGCUGGAGAACUGAGGGGGGCUGCUCCUAGUACGAGAGGACCGGAGUGGACGCAUCACUGGUGUUCGGGUUGUCAUGCCAAUGGCACUGCCCGGUAGCUAAAUGCGGAAGAGAUAAGUGCUGAAAGCAUCUAAGCACGAAACUUGCCCCGAGAUGAGUUCUCCCUGAC
RNAcentral lists this ribosomal RNA (2802 nucleotides) under Escherichia coli. RNAcentral's name for it is "bacterial LSU rRNA". It matches the Rfam family "Bacterial large subunit ribosomal RNA". The record is from RNAcentral. Lineage: Bacteria; Pseudomonadati; Pseudomonadota; Gammaproteobacteria; Enterobacterales; Enterobacteriaceae.